Molecule: ribosomal RNA, 443 nt
Filed under: uncultured bacterium
Lineage: Bacteria
Description: partial 16S ribosomal RNA
Rfam family: Bacterial small subunit ribosomal RNA
Source: RNAcentral
CCUACGGGAGGCAGCAGUGGGGAAUAUUGGGCAAUGGGCGCAAGCCUGACCCAGCAACGCCGCGUGAAGGAAGAAGGCUUUCGGGUUGUAAACCUCUUUUGUCAGGGAUGAAGCAAGUUACGGUAGUUGACGUAUAAGCCACGGCUAAACAUGCGCCAGAAGCCGCGGCAAUACGUCGGUGGCAAGCGUUAUACGGAUUUACUGGGUGUAAGGGCCGUGUAGGCGGGACUGUAAGUCAGAUGUGAAAACUACGGGCUCAACCUGUAGACUGAAUUUGAAACUGGAGUUCUUGAGUACAGGAGAGGUGGGCGGAAUUCCUGGUGUAGCGGUGAAAUGCGUAGAUAUUACGAAGAACACCGAUGGCGAAGGCAGCUUACUGGACUGCAACUGACGCUGAGGCGCGAAAGCGUGGGGAGCAAACAGGAUUAGAUACCCUAGUAGUC